UGGGGAAUAUUGCACAAUGGGCGAAAGCCUGAUGCAGCGACGCCGCGUGCGGGAUGAAGGCCUUCGGGUUGUAAACCGCUUUUAAUUGGGAGCAAGCGAGAGUGAGUGUACCUUUUGAAUAAGCACCGGCUAACUACGUGCCAGCAGCCGCGGUAAUACGUAGGGUGCAAGCGUUAUCCGGAAUUAUUGGGCGUAAAGAGCUCGUAGGCGGUUUGUCACGCCUGGUGUGAAAGUCCAUCGCUUAACGGUGGAUCUGCGCCGGGUACGGGCAGGCUAGAGUGCAGUAGGGGAGAUUGGAAUUCCCGGUGUAACGGUGGAAUGUGUAGAUAUCGGGAAGAACACCAAUGGCGAAGGCAGAUCUCUGGGCUGUUACUGACGCUGAGGAGCGAAAAGCAUGGGGAGCGAACAGGAU
Molecule: ribosomal RNA, 412 nt
Filed under: uncultured bacterium
Lineage: Bacteria
Description: partial 16S ribosomal RNA
Rfam family: Bacterial small subunit ribosomal RNA
Source: RNAcentral